Molecule: ribosomal RNA, 466 nt
Filed under: uncultured bacterium
Lineage: Bacteria
Description: partial 16S ribosomal RNA
Rfam family: Bacterial small subunit ribosomal RNA
Source: RNAcentral
GAUGAACGCUGGCGGCGUGCUUAACACAUGCAAGUCGAACGGAAAGGCUCCUGCUUGCAGGGGUACUCGAGUGGCGAACGGGUGAGUAAAACGUGGGUGAUCUGCCCUGCACUUCGGGAGAAGACUGGGAAACUGGGUCUAAUACCGGAUAGGAUGUUGGUUAGGAUGUCAUUGUGGAAAGUAUUUCGGUGUGGGUUGAGCUCGCGGCCUAUCAGCUUGUCGGUGGGGUAAUGGCUUACCGAGGCGUCGACGGGUAGCCGGCCUGUGAGGGUGUACGGCGACACUGGGACUAAGAGGCGGCCCAGACACCGACUGGUGGGAGCAGGGGGGAAGAUUGCAGGAGGGGCGCAGGCCGGGUGCAGAGGGGCCUCGGGUGGUAAGACUGUCUUAUUAGUGUAAACUACAUUCGCAAGUAACUAUGCACUUUUUGACGGUACCUGGAGAAGAAGCAACGGCUAACUACGUG